This 74-nucleotide microRNA precursor is filed under the name Myotis lucifugus (little brown bat). Its description in RNAcentral is "mir-9193 microRNA precursor family". It matches the Rfam family "mir-9193 microRNA precursor family". The record is from Rfam by way of RNAcentral. Lineage: Eukaryota; Metazoa; Chordata; Mammalia; Chiroptera; Vespertilionidae.
AGUGCGCCCAGGUGGGUCCCUCAGCCCAGAUUGCAAGAGGGCGCAGGCCAGGCUGAGGGACCCACCGGUGCAUG